Long non-coding RNA from Dermochelys coriacea (leatherback sea turtle), 156 nucleotides. RefSeq lists it as uncharacterized. The transcript has 3 exons. NCBI's taxonomy places the organism in Eukaryota, Metazoa, Chordata, Testudines, Dermochelyidae. The record is from RefSeq and is a predicted model, not a curated record.
UUUAAAAUCAGAAGUGGAUGGGUGUUGAAGAUUUCAAAAUGCAGCUCAUUCAGUUAAAAGGCUCAGAAUUGUGGGCAUCAAAGUUUGGAGAUCUGCGGCAUGCACUUGAAGCUACCGGGAGAGAUCAUGGGCCCUCUAUUCUGACCUGCUGGACAU